GUUAAGUUGAAGCGGCUAGCCGAGCAGUAUUUGCUUUCAACAACAUCAUGAACAGGAGGGAAGUCUCGGGGACAUCAAGUCAAACCUUCUGAGGCCAAUCAAUUGGUAAACUGGCAUAGUCCUACUAUGAAGCUCAUCUUUUAGGAGAACAAGAUGUGAUCCAAGAUAUCAUUCUGUCUGUGUUCUACUUUUAGCGAUAGUGGGAGCUGCUGCUCUGUAAUUUGAUCAGAGAGUAGUAGGCACCGCCACAAGGAGGAACCUCUGUCUGUUGCUAUAUUAGCCAAAAGGAACAUCUGCUGCUAUCAAUGAUACAAAGUCAUAAAAUCUUCCUAGUUGAAUAAUAGCUUGUUGCCUAUCGGGUUUUUAAUCA
Long non-coding RNA from Eucalyptus grandis, 370 nucleotides. RefSeq lists it as uncharacterized. The transcript is spliced from 2 exons. Lineage: Eukaryota; Viridiplantae; Streptophyta; Magnoliopsida; Myrtales; Myrtaceae. The record is from RefSeq and is a predicted model, not a curated record.